UUUUAUAGUUUUCGUAUUAUUUUUAGCAGAAAUAAUUUUCAGUAUUUGAAGUUGAAGAUAUAUUUUUAAUGUUACCUAAAAAAUGUGUCCUUUUCUAAAGUAAGAAGUUUUGAAAAUCGUCAACCAAACAAAUUUUAUGAAAAUUGUUCUGCAAAACUGAUUUUGAAAACCGACCCAAACAGAUCGCGUGCGGAUUCCUAUUUUCAGACACA
This 212-nucleotide long non-coding RNA is filed under the name Actinidia chinensis (golden kiwifruit). RNAcentral describes it as "long non-coding RNA (ACHI_LNC001343)". Lineage: Eukaryota; Viridiplantae; Streptophyta; Magnoliopsida; Ericales; Actinidiaceae. The record is from RNAcentral.